CAGUAGCCGCGGUAAUACAGAGGGUGCAAGCGUUAAUCGGAAUUACUGGGCGUAAAGCGCGCGUAGGUGGUUUGUUAAGUUGGAUGUGAAAUCCCCGGGCUCAACCUGGGAACUGCAUCCAAAACUGGCAGGCUAGAGUAGGGCAGAGGGUGGUGGAAUUUCCUGUGUAGCGGUGAAAUGCGUAGAUAUAGGAAAGAACACCAGUGGCGAAGGCGACCACCUGGGCUCAUACUGACACUGAGGUGCGAAAGCGUGGGGAGCAAACAGGAUUAGAUACCCGAGUAGUCCCUGUCUCUUAUAA
RNAcentral lists this ribosomal RNA (301 nucleotides) under uncultured bacterium. RNAcentral describes it as "partial 16S ribosomal RNA". It matches the Rfam family "Bacterial small subunit ribosomal RNA", at positions 509 to 809 of the family's 1533-position model. The record is from RNAcentral.